RNAcentral lists this ribosomal RNA (481 nucleotides) under uncultured bacterium. RNAcentral's name for it is "partial 16S ribosomal RNA". It matches the Rfam family "Bacterial small subunit ribosomal RNA", at positions 28 to 507 of the family's 1533-position model. The record is from RNAcentral.
GAUGAACGCUGGCGGCGUGCUUAACACAUGCAAGUCGAACGAAGCACUUUAUUUGAUUUCCUUCGGGACUGAUUAUUUUGUGACUGAGUGGCGGACGGGUGAGUAACGCGUGGGUAACCUGCCUUGUACAGGGGGAUAACAGUUGGAAACGGCUGCUAAUACCGCAUAAGCGCACGGCAUCGCAUGAUGCAGUGUGAAAAACUCCGGUGGUAUAAGAUGGACCCGCGUUGGAUUAGCUAGUUGGUGAGGUAACGGCCCACCAAGGCGACGAUCCAUAGCCGACCUGAGAGGGUGACCGGCCACAUUGGGACUGAGACACGGCCCAAACUCCUACGGGAGGCAGCAGUGGGGAAUAUUGCACAAUGGGCGAAAGCCUGAUGCAGCGACGCCGCGUGAGCGAAGAAGUAUUUCGGUAUGUAAAGCCCUAUCAGCAGGGAAGAUAAUGACGGUACCUGACUAAGAAGCACCGGCUAAAUACGUG